GACGAACGCUGGCGGCGUGCUUAACACAUGCAAGUCGAACGCUGAAGCUCAGCUUUUGUUGGGUGGAUGAGUGGCGAACGGGUGAGUAACACGUGAGUAACCUGCCCCCUUCUUUGGGAUAACGCCCGGAAACGGGUGCUAAUACUGGAUAUUCACUGGUCUUCGCAUGGGGGCUGGUGGAAAGGGGUUUUCUGGUGGGGGAUGGGCUCGCGGCCUAUCAGCUUGUUGGGGGGGUAAUGGCCUACCCAGGCUUUGACGGGUAGACGGGCUGAGAGGGUAAACGGGAACAGUGAGACGGACAUGCGGCCCAGAGUAGGACGCGAGGCAGAAGUGGGGACAAUUGCAGAAUGGGUGCCAGCCUGAUGCAGCGACGGCGCGUGAGGGAUUGAGGCCUUAGGGUUGUGAACCUCUUUAGCACAUGGUCAAGCCGCAACAAUGGUUGUGGUGAGGGUAGUGGGUAAAGAAGCGCCGGCUAACUACGUG
Molecule: ribosomal RNA, 483 nt
Filed under: uncultured bacterium
Lineage: Bacteria
Description: partial 16S ribosomal RNA
Rfam family: Bacterial small subunit ribosomal RNA
Source: RNAcentral